This 360-nucleotide long non-coding RNA is filed under the name Gorilla gorilla gorilla (western lowland gorilla). RNAcentral's name for it is "lncRNA (ENSGGOG00000044237.1)". The record is from RNAcentral. Lineage: Eukaryota; Metazoa; Chordata; Mammalia; Primates; Hominidae.
GUGCCCACAGUUUGCCCACCGGACGGCCCUGCUAGGUGGGAAGCUCCUUGCAGGCAGGAACCCCAUCUGCUUGACUUUACUUUGGAAUCUCCGCAGCCUCAUACGGGGCUGAGGCAGGUCCUUCCGUAAAAUGGAACUGAAUGAGCGGCGCCAUUCAGUUAAUCCAUCCGCCAAAGGCCAGUCUCCCUUGGGUUUUCAACAGCUGGAGAAAUAUCAAAAGAAUCUGAAUAUCACCAUCUGGAAGUUGUGCCAUGGACUCCAGUGGGCAGGAUUCGAGCUGGGAUUCUCUUCUUCCUCUAGCAGUGUAUUUCUUCUGCUUAAAAUGAGCACAAACACAUCUAAUUCCCUAAUGGACCAACU